UGGGGAAUAUUGGACAAUGGGGGAAACCCUGAUCCAGCAAUGCCGCGUGAGUGAUGAAGGCCUUCGGGUUGUAAAGCUCUUUUGUCAGGGACGAUAAUGACGGUACCUGACGAAUAAGCACCGGCUAACUUCGUGCCAGCAGCCGCGGUAAUACGAAGGGUGCUAGCGUUGUUCGGAGUAACUGGGCGUAAAGGGAGCGUAGGCGGUUAGGUACGUUUGGUGUGAAAGUCCUGGGCUUAACCUGGGGACUGCAUUGAAUACGGCUUGACUUGAGAUAUUGAGGGGAAGAUGGAACUGCGUGUGUAGAGGUGAAAUUCGUAGAUAUACGCAAGAACACCAGUGGCGAAGGCGAUCUUCUGGCAAUAGUCUGACGCUAAGGCUCGAAAGCGUGGGGAGCAAACAGG
RNAcentral lists this ribosomal RNA (404 nucleotides) under uncultured bacterium. RNAcentral's name for it is "bacterial SSU rRNA". It matches the Rfam family "Bacterial small subunit ribosomal RNA", at positions 355 to 776 of the family's 1533-position model. The record is from RNAcentral.